ACGGAGGGUGCAAGCGUUAUCCGGAUUCACUGGGUUAAAGGGUGCGUAGGUGGGCAGGUAAGUCAGUGGUGAAAUCUCCGGGCUUAACCCGGAAACUGUCGUUGAUACUAUUUGUCUUGAAUGUCGUGGAGGUUAGCGGAAUAUGUCAUGUAGCGGUGAAAUGCUUAGAUAUGACAUAGAACACCUAUUGCGAAGGCAGCUAACUACGCGAAUAUUGACGCUGAGGCACGAAAGCGUGGGGAUCAAACAGGA
This 252-nucleotide ribosomal RNA is filed under the name uncultured prokaryote. Its description in RNAcentral is "partial 16S ribosomal RNA". It matches the Rfam family "Bacterial small subunit ribosomal RNA", at positions 525 to 777 of the family's 1533-position model. The record is from RNAcentral.